GCCAGCAGCCAUAUCACCCUGCAGCUCUCAACUGGCUACCCACUGAAACUAAACAGUAUUUGGAUGGGAGACCUCCUGGAAAGCUCAGAUUGCUGCUGGAA
This 101-nucleotide ribosomal RNA is filed under the name Lepisosteus oculatus (spotted gar). Lineage: Eukaryota; Metazoa; Chordata; Actinopteri; Semionotiformes; Lepisosteidae. The record is from RNAcentral.